UUGGAGGGCAAGUCUGGUGCCAGCAGCCGCGGUAAUUCAGCUCCAAUAGCGUAUAUUAAAGUUGUUGCAGUUAAAAAGCUCGUAGUUGAAUUUCGGGAUCAAAUUGUCGGUCGUGCCUCGGUACGCACUGGUAUUAUUGGUUCCUACCUUCUGAAGAACCGCGAUGUCAUUAAUUUGGUGUCGUGGGGAAUCAGGACUGUUACUUUGAAAAAAUUAGAGUGUUUAAAGCAGGCUUACGCUUGAAUACAUUAGCAUGGAAUAAUGAAAUAGGACGUUUGAUUCUAUUUUGUUGGUUUCUAGGAUUGACGUAAUGAUUAAUAGGGAUAGUUGGGGGCAUUAGUAUUCAAUUGUCAGAGGUGAAAUUCUUGGAUUUAUUGAAGACUAACUACUGCGAAAGCAUUUGCCAAGGAUGUUUUCAUUAAUCAAGAACGAAAGUUAGGGGAUCGAAGACGAUCAGAUACCGUCGUAGUCUUAACCAUAAACUAUGCCGACUAGGGAUCGGAUGAUGUUAAUUUUUUAAUGACUCAUUCGGCGCCUUACGGGAAAC
This 547-nucleotide ribosomal RNA is filed under the name uncultured Glomeromycotina. RNAcentral's name for it is "SSU rRNA". It matches the Rfam family "Eukaryotic small subunit ribosomal RNA", at positions 548 to 1098 of the family's 1831-position model. Lineage: Eukaryota; Fungi; Glomeromycota. The record is from RNAcentral.